RNAcentral lists this unclassified non-coding RNA (240 nucleotides) under soil metagenome. RNAcentral describes it as "partial contains 5.8S ribosomal RNA, internal transcribed spacer 2, and large subunit ribosomal RNA". The record is from RNAcentral.
AACGCACGAGACCUGCGGACCUGCGGAAGGAUCAUUAAUGUUACCUCAUCCAAACUUGCUGUCAGAGGAGGGAAGGGGGUUCUUCUCUCUCUCUCUUCUCUGGCAACAUAGCACCUGUGAACAAGGUUAAAGUCCUUAACAGCAUUCUCAAAACAGAUUUGCUGUUAAAGCACCUUUUUUUUUUUCCACUGUCUAAAAUUUAAAUGAGUUACUUUUUUCUAAAAAGUGACGAGAAAAAAA